GGCGGCGUAGCUCAACGGUUAGAGCACGCGGCUCAUAUCCGCGGAGUUGUAGGUUCGAUUCCUACCGCCGCCACCA
This 76-nucleotide transfer RNA is filed under the name Binataceae bacterium (SeqCode). RNAcentral's name for it is "tRNA-Met". It matches the Rfam family "tRNA". Rfam says of the family: Transfer RNA (tRNA) molecules are approximately 80 nucleotides in length. Their secondary structure includes four short double-helical elements and three loops (D, anti-codon, and T loops). Further hydrogen bonds mediate the characteristic L-shaped molecular structure. tRNAs have two regions of fundamental functional importance: the anti-codon, which is responsible for specific mRNA codon recognition, and the 3' end, to which the tRNAs corresponding amino acid is attached (by aminoacyl-tRNA synthetases). tRNAs cope with the degeneracy of the genetic code in two manners: having more than one tRNA (with a specific anti-codon) for a particular amino acid; and 'wobble' base-pairing, i.e. permitting non-standard base-pairing at the 3rd anti-codon position. Lineage: Bacteria; Candidatus Binatota; Binatia (SeqCode); Binatales (SeqCode); Binataceae (SeqCode). The record is from RNAcentral.